This 492-nucleotide ribosomal RNA is filed under the name uncultured bacterium. RNAcentral describes it as "partial 16S ribosomal RNA". It matches the Rfam family "Bacterial small subunit ribosomal RNA", at positions 29 to 507 of the family's 1533-position model. The record is from RNAcentral.
AGUGAACGCUGGCGGUAGGCCUAACACAUGCAAGUCGAACGGCAGCACAGUAAGAGCUUGCUCUUACGGGUGGCGAGUGGCGGACGGGUGAGGAAUACAUCGGAAUCUACUUUUUCGUGGGGGAUAACGUAGGGAAACUUACGCUAAUACCGCAUACGACCUACGGGUGAAAGCAGGGGAUCUUCGGACCUUGCGCGAUUGAAUGAGCCGAUGUCGGAUUAGCUAGUUGGCGGGGUAAAGGCCCACCAAGGCGACGAUCCGUAGCUGGUCUGAGAGGAUGAUCAGCCACACGGGAACUGAGACACGGUCCAGACUCCUACGGGAGGCAGCAGUGGGGAAUAUUGGACAAUGGGCGAAAGCCUGAUCCAGCCAUACCGCGUGGGUGAAGAAGGCCUUCGGGUUGUAAAGCCCUUUUGUUGGGAAAGAAAAGCAGCAGGUUAAUACCCCGCUGUUCUGACGGUACCCAAAGAAUAAGCACCGGCUAACUUCGUG